UUUCUCGUUUUUGUCUUUGAG
Caenorhabditis elegans is the source of this 21-nucleotide non-coding RNA. The record is from Ensembl. Lineage: Eukaryota; Metazoa; Nematoda; Chromadorea; Rhabditida; Rhabditidae.